UGAUAUCUUCCUGUAAGUCCUUGAUCUUGAUCAUACACAUUUGCGUGUAUGAUUAGUGUAUAAUUGAAUCAAGGGUGUCACACUUACCCGUGAAGGCAACCCAUGAUUCCACUUCCCUCGCCUUUCCCACGAAGGGCUUGUUCGGUUAAUCCCUCCCAUAAGAGGAUUGGAGAGGAUUUGAGAGGAUUGAGGUGGAUUUUGACUUGUGGGGAAUUUAAUCCCUCUCAAUCCCCUCCAAACCCCUUCAAAUCUGAAGGAACCGAACAAGGCCGAAGGCUCCUCAAACAGCAGGCAUCAACCACCAUGGGUAGGCGAAGGAGAUGAAGCAGCAGGCUCGAUCUGCUCGUGUGUCCACCUCCCGCCGCCCAUGGACCUACAGAUCAUUGCCAUCCCGAGUGAUGAACUUGGAGGAGGACGGGGAUGAGCUCACCGUCUUCCUCGCGAGAGGCACUGGCGAGGCUACGCGCUUUGAUUGGGCGAUGGACGGCCCCGUCCCGCUCUCGCUUCGCCAUGGAUCCGCCCUUCUCGUGCGCCGUGCCUUAUGCUAGUAGGUGGGUGGGGGAGGACGAGACGAGCUCAACCCGGACGAGGUCGCUGCGAUUGUCGACGCCUCCUCUGUCGCCGGAGGCCAUGGGCCCUCCUCAUCAACCGCACAAUCCACCUUUGAUGUUGUUUUCAUCGGGUGUGAGGAUCAAGUGAAGGUGAGCAGCAUAUUCAAAUUUGCAUAUCAUGGCCAACCUGCUUGUUUAGCACAAUCCCGUAGGCUGCACAAGAAGUUGCCUUGGCUAUCUGUGGUUGGUUUCGUAGUGUAUUUGGGGUUAUGCCUGUGUUUGGAGUCAAAGAUUCCAACACAUGUAGGCAUCUGUGUGAGUUUGUAUGGGUCACUAUUUUGGGUUGAAGAAGAUUGAUAGGGUAUAGUUCAUCUGUAAAAAGUGACUAUGAAUUUGUUUUUGUUUAAAGGUUUGCGAUAUUGUAGAUGGAUUAUUCAUUGAAUUGUUUAGACUGUUUACUGGAAAUUGCAAGAACGAACUUGAGACAAUUAAUAAAGCAGUGUCCAUUUGAGCAACUGAAGGUAAAAUAUUCUUGCUUGGUUAUUCCAGUUAUGUUGCAAUAUUUGAGUUUCGUGGCUCAAGAUGUCGAUUCACAUUGUCUUACUUCCUGCGUACUGGUUUCUUUAUACCCCUUGACGGGGAGAUCCAGGAAGGAGGGAAGGAGGCGAGUCUCUCCCACGGCGUCGCCGUCAAGGAGCACUAAGGGACCUCCCUGUCUUGGUUUGUAGCAUGUACAUUCACCACGCCGCCGCCAGCUAUAUGCAUCACCAUGAGGAGGACAAAAUAAGCUCAAGGACUAUGUGGGAGCUGACCUAAAGAAUUUUACAGUGUCACAAUAAUGGUUUCGCUAAAGCUAGCAGGCGUUUCUGACCUGUAAGUUCAUUUUGUUUUCUAUAGUUCUUUGUAUUCCGGUGUCAUUAAACGUAUGUAGCAGCUAAAGUUAUGUGUAGGUAAGGUGGAACGUGAAACUUUCUUGUCUCCUCAUCCCAGUACUUCCAUGUUUAUUUCUCAUAGAUGCUGCCUAUUAUAUAAUACCAGGUCGUAGAGUGUUUGUAUGCUAAAUCCUACCAAAGUUAUUGGUACAACUAAUGCAUUCGCUCUACUGACUAAAUACAUUGACAAAGCUACUCUUUUCUCUAGGCAUUGCAUUUUGUAAAUUAAAAGAAAACGAGUAGCAUCUAGAUAUAUGUAUUAAUUGGUUUGUCAACGAUUACCGAAAAAGGCUUCCGUCCCGUUUUA
This is a long non-coding RNA of Triticum urartu, 1790 nucleotides long. RefSeq lists it as uncharacterized. The record is from RefSeq and is a predicted model, not a curated record. Lineage: Eukaryota; Viridiplantae; Streptophyta; Magnoliopsida; Poales; Poaceae.